CAGGUGCCGCACCCAUUGUACAAGCCAACAAAGAGCAAGAUUGUGCCCUGUGCAGACUCACUCUGUACUACACUGCUCAGCUCACAGAUUCCUAACAACAAGCAGUGCCCCUCACCACACCAAUGCGACUACAAAAUCAAGUACACGGACAGCUCGUCUUCUCGCGGUGUGCUCGUUACCGACAGCUUCGGCCUAACCCUACGGAAUUCAUCCCGUGUUAGUCGCAGCCUCACCUUUGGCUGUGGCUAUGACCAGCAGGUGGGAAAGAAUGGGGCAGUGCAGGCAGCGACAGAUGGCUUGCUUGGGCUUGGGAGGGGAUCAGUUAGCUUGGUCUCGCAGCUCAAGCAGCAAGGCAUCACCAAGAAUGUACUUGCCCAUUGCCUCAGUACGAACGGAGGAGGGUUCCUCUACUUUGGGGAUGAUAUCGUGUCUACCUCACGCGCAACGUGGGUGCCGAUGGCUCGUAGCACAUCUGGGAAUUACUACUCACCUGGCUCAGGAACACUUUACUUCGAUAAACACCCACUAGGAGUGAAGCCAACGGAGGUGGUAUUUGAUAGAGGUAGCACCUAUACGUACUUUGCUGCCCAGCCAUACCAAGCGACUGUUUCUGCGAUCCAAGCUGGUCUCAGCAAGUCACUUACGAAGGUGUCUGACCCCAGUCUACCUCUUUGCUGGAAAGGGCAGAAAGUGUUUAAAUCUGUGUCUGACAUCAAGAAGGAGUUCAAAUCACUCUUCCUGAUGUUUUCGAAGAAUACAGCCAUGGAGAUCGCUCCUGAAAACUACCUCAUUGUUACCAAAAAUGGAAAUGUGUGCUUGGGCAUUCUUGACGGGUCGGUGGCCAAACUUAAUUUCAACAUAAUUGGAGAUAUCACAAUGCAGGAUCAGUUGGUAAUUUAUGACAAUGAGAAAGGGAAACUUGGAUGGAUCCGUGGAUCAUGCAGUAGGGGCACUAAGUAU
Molecule: ribosomal RNA, 960 nt
Filed under: Triticum aestivum (bread wheat)
Lineage: Eukaryota; Viridiplantae; Streptophyta; Magnoliopsida; Poales; Poaceae
Description: partial small subunit ribosomal RNA
Source: RNAcentral